CAGAUGUGGAGCCUGCGGCUUAAUUUGACUCAACACGGGAAACCUCACCGGGCCAUGACACUGGAAGGAUUGACAGAUUGAGAGCUCUUUCUUGAUUCGGUGGGUGGUGGUGCAUGGCCGUUCUUAGUUGGUGGUGUGAAUUGUCUGCUUAAUUGCGAUAACGAACGAGAUCCUCACCUACUAAGUAGUCGAAUACCGGCAUCCUUGGUGCAGCCGGCGAAUAACACUCUUCUUAGAGGGACAAGCGGCGUCUAGCCGCGCGAAACUGGGCAAUAACAGGUCUGUAAUGCCCUUAGAUGUUCUGGGCAGCACGCGCGCUACAAUGAAGGGAUCAGCGUGUGUUUUCCUUGCCCGAGAGGGCCGGGUAACCCGGUGAACCUCCUUCGUGCUAGGGAUUGGGGCUUGCAAUUCUUCCCCACGAACGAGGAAUACCUCGUAAGCGGGAGUCAUUAGCUCCCGUUGAUUAUGUCCCUGCCCUUUGUACACACCGCCCGUCGCUACAACCGAUUGAAUAUUUUGGUGAGGUCUUCGGACUGGCGCGCGGCCCCUCUCUGAAGGGCUGAUGCGCCGGAAAGAUGACCGAACUUGAAUAUUUAGA
RNAcentral lists this ribosomal RNA (598 nucleotides) under Gryllitara sp. TR-2005. Its description in RNAcentral is "bacterial SSU rRNA". It matches the Rfam family "Eukaryotic small subunit ribosomal RNA", at positions 1171 to 1777 of the family's 1831-position model. The record is from RNAcentral. Lineage: Eukaryota; Metazoa; Arthropoda; Insecta; Orthoptera; Gryllidae.